RNAcentral lists this ribosomal RNA (441 nucleotides) under uncultured bacterium. RNAcentral's name for it is "bacterial SSU rRNA". It matches the Rfam family "Bacterial small subunit ribosomal RNA", at positions 355 to 812 of the family's 1533-position model. The record is from RNAcentral.
UGGGGAAUCUUGGACAAUGGGGGCAACCCUGAUCCAGCCAUGCCGCGUGAGUGAUGAAGGCCCUAGGGUCGUAAAGCUCUUUCGCCUGUGAAGAUAAUGACGGUAGCAGGUAAAGAAACCCCGGCUAACUCCGUGCCAGCAGCCGCGGUAAUACGGAGGGGGUUAGCGUUGUUCGGAAUUACUGGGCGUAAAGCGCACGUAGGCGGACCAGAAAGUUGGGGGUGAAAUCCCGGGGGCUCAACCCCGGAACUGCCUCCAAAACUAUUGGUCUAGAGUUCGAGAGAGGUGAGUGGAAUUCCAAGUGUAGAGGUGAAAUUCGUAGAUAUUCGGAGGAACACCAGUGGCGAAGGCGGCUCACUGGCUCGAUACUGACGCUGAGGUGCGAAAGUGUGGGGAGCAAACAGGAUUAGAUACCCUGGUAGUCCACGCCGUAAACGAUGU